CACGUAGGGGGCAAGCGUUGUCCGGAUUUAUUGGGCGUAAAGAGCUCGUAGGUGGUUCGGUAAGUCGGGUGUUAAACCCCCAGGCUCAACCUGGGGACGCCACUCGAUACUGCUGUGACUAGAGUCCGGGUAGGGGAGCGUGGAAUUCCUGGGUGUAGCGGUGAAAUGCGCAGAUAUCAGGAGGAACACCAGCGGCGAAGGCGGCGCUCUGGGCCGGUACUGACACUGAGGAGCGAAAGCGUGGGUAGCAAACAGG
This 256-nucleotide ribosomal RNA is filed under the name uncultured bacterium. Its description in RNAcentral is "partial 16S ribosomal RNA". It matches the Rfam family "Bacterial small subunit ribosomal RNA", at positions 524 to 776 of the family's 1533-position model. The record is from RNAcentral.